GGCUGCUGGCUUCUCCCGCGCUCUCAGCAGCCUCAUGCAUUGCCGAUGUUUGCCCUGUCCAGGGAAGACUGUGCACUCCUCAGUGUAGCUGCCCUUCUGUUCCUCCACAGACCUCUACCUCCCUGCCCUACACCUCUCUCCACGAACUCCACGUUCUGUCAUUCCCAAUGUACAAGCUUAGCUGGCAGAACGAUGGGGUUUAUGUGUCUGGCAUCAACCCCGGGGGAGAUGGGGAGGGAAGGUAAGCUGGUUUUUGGAAAGGAGGAGAAGAAGUACUGCAACAGUGCAGCUGGAGCAAGAGUCAGGCAAAGCUGAUUAUUUCCACUUGUGUUGGUCAUAUUCACCCUACAGUCUGAUGCUGCAACCAUCUAGGCAGACAUAUCAUUUGAUGUACUGGAGUUUCUCCAUUGACGUUCUCCAAGCUAAUGGGAAUAAAUUAAGUUCAUGCAAGAGCUUUACAUGAUCCAGAUUCAAAAUACGCCCAAGUGCAAUCAAUGCCUCUAAAGUCAGCCUCUUCUUAAAAGAUCACUUUGUCUGAUGGUGUCUGCUGGAAAAGAGGAUUAAAUCCUCACCUCCAACUUGUAGGUAUGAAUUUGGGUUAGAUUUUUGUCUCUUCUGGCACUGUGUAGAUUUCUGGCUCCAAUAAAACAGUAAUAUCCUAGGGUUGUUCUAAUCUUGCUUCAACAUGAAAAGGAACACGUAAUAAUUUCAAUAAAGGGAUGUCAGCAAGACAAGCUUUUAUUAGCAGUCCCAUGCCUAUUACAAAAGCUCAUUAUCUUUUCUCCAUUUAGUGACUGGAGGAGGGAGAGUUUCAAAAGGAGGCAGAUUCCCCAGUUACUCCUGGAAACCCCUGAGAGAUCAGUGCCCUCCCUACUUGCCCACUACUCCCUAUUGUCUGUCAUUAUCUGCAUGUCUUGCACUCCUGUUUUGCCUGGUUCUAAGGUUGUUAUUACCUCCAUCUACAAAUACCAUUUGUAAAAUGGUAAAAUGCAAUGCACUUUACACUUUACAACUUCUAUCAACCAAGUGUAAAAAAGGAAGGAACUGGAAGAAACUGGGCUGUGCUGGUGGGGUAGAACAAGCUGUGAAAAAUCACUUCCAUUUCCACAGCCAACCACUGAAAAUGAAAGCUAGAACAUGAAGCUUCCCUCUGGGACUGUGUGGGUGAGUCUGAAUUCAUGAGGCCUCUCCUCAUCUCUGCUUCACACAGAGCCAGCACCUGGUCACAGAACCUGGACCAGGUUUCAGUCAGCCAUUGCUGUGUCUUCAUUUAUAAUCAUGGAAUCAUUUAGGUUGGAGAAGACCAAAGACCAAAAAUUAAAUCUAAAACUUGUCCUUUCAGAUUGUAUGGCUUUACAGUCUAAUAAAAGAAGAAGGGAAAUGUUGGAAAGAGGAAAAGGUGAAAAACCAUACGGGUGAAUAUAAGCCCCAGAAAACACAGAUCUCCACAAAGCCUUUGGGGUGGGACUUAUCUAACCAAAAAGUAAUCCUUCUCCUCAAGUAGUAGUAGAUAAGAGGAAUCAUGCCCUAAAAGUGCAUAUAUUUUCUGCCAGGAGAAGCAGACAGUAAGUACCAUCUCAGAGGAAAAAGCAUUCCUUUGCAGACACUGAAGGGAGAGAUGACAGGAAGGUGCUGCUGUCAGCUCUGAAUGCAGGCUUUGAAGAAGCAACAUCUGGGGCAGAGAACAGUUCUUGGGGGAAACAAACAUUCCCUAAUUGUGUUUUCUUGUUGUUGGGCAGAACCCCUUUAGCCAGUGCAAUGCUCCCAUUCCCACAUCCAUUGUGGUUCCUGCCAUGCAUUGGGUACCCCCACUCUGCACUGCCCUGCACCACAGGGCUGUGGACUUGCCUUGGCAGAGUGAACACAAGUUCAGAAUUUGCCUGUUUUCUGCAAAAUUUUGGUUAACAUCUUUCACAAUAUUUUUUUCAUCAAUGUUCAAAAUGCUGGGUUCUUAACCUGGUGGAACCUUCUGAUUUAUUCUUUUUUGAAGGACACCCAUUUAGCCCUAAAAACAUUCCUUUUAAAGCUGAACAGUUUUUUAGAAACACCUCUUCCUUCCCCAGCAGACGGUGCCUGAAACCUGGCUGAGCCAUGUAUCUGCAUCAUGUAAAGGCAGUGACAGGACAUAAAAAAAGUCCCCUCAGACAUAAAACACUGCUGAGCUGUUUUAUGCAUUGACAAUAUUAAUGAUUGUGGCAGGUCUAAAUCCUAAUUUCUUUAAGAACAUCGGUGUCUCAAACUGAUUUUCUGUGGCUCUUCUCUGACAAUUGGGAAGUAGAUUUUGAAUUUUCCCUUUCCUAAAUGUACUUCCAUGUCCUUGUACCACUACAUUUCAUCGCUGCCAGCUCCAUGUGCCUGCUGUUCUGCCAGAGAAAGCAUGUUAAAUGAACCCUCAAACUUGACAACUGUGGAAGGAAACCAAGACACGAAUGAUAUCUAACAUGGUUAGAGCACUGAUACCACUAUUUAACAGUGGAGAAUUAGUGAAGUUAUUGAUAAAUCAUUUUGAAGUGUGUUUUAAGCCACUUCCCAUUUGUGUAUGGUGAUUGCUUAUAAAACAUCAGCAUCAGUGAUUGCUGGAGUCUUUACUUGUAAUGCCAUCUCCACAUUACAAAAUAUCAUUUUUGUUCCAUCUGAACUAAAACUUGAUGAGCAGUCAAGAAUAGAAAAGAGAAAAGCAUUAUAUCCCACUUAGCCAAAACACACAGAAUACCAAAUUUUGUCUUAUAAACAAUGCGUGUUCCUAAUCUAACUGGAUCACAACUUCAGCUGCUACAAAUGAAAAGCUAUCACAUUUCAUCACCACUUAAUGAACUCCAAACUUGCACUGGUUUUGCUUCCAGCCCCUGUACAGAAUCCCGUGGACCUCUGUAUGUGGACAGAUUAUGGUACGUAGU
Corvus hawaiiensis (hawaiian crow) is the source of this 2897-nucleotide long non-coding RNA. RefSeq lists it as uncharacterized. The transcript has 3 exons. NCBI's taxonomy places the organism in Eukaryota, Metazoa, Chordata, Aves, Passeriformes, Corvidae. The record is from RefSeq and is a predicted model, not a curated record.